This is an unclassified non-coding RNA of Pongo abelii (Sumatran orangutan), 117 nucleotides long. It matches the Rfam family "Metazoan signal recognition particle RNA". From Rfam's summary of the family: The signal recognition particle (SRP) is a universally conserved ribonucleoprotein. The record is from Ensembl. Lineage: Eukaryota; Metazoa; Chordata; Mammalia; Primates; Hominidae.
GCCGGGCGCGGUGGCUCACGCCUGUAAUCCCAACUCAUCGGGAGGCAGAGGUAGGCGGAUCACUUGAGGUCAGGAGUUCGAGACCAGCCUGGCCAACAUGGUGAAAGCCUGUCUCUA